AGAGGGUGGUUGUGAUGGCUGUGCUAGGAAAGCAUGCUCGAUUAUUUUUGACGCUUUGCUUGACUAUAGAACCAGGUGUACACAACAACAAAAGGAUCUUGACAGAAGUCGAAAUGACAUGAUCAACUUAAUCCAGGAUCUCGUUCCUUUGUUGUCCAAGGACGCUAGUGAU
Molecule: long non-coding RNA, 172 nt
Organism: Orbicella faveolata
Lineage: Eukaryota; Metazoa; Cnidaria; Anthozoa; Scleractinia; Merulinidae
Source: RefSeq, a predicted model, not a curated record